GAUGAACGCUGGCGGCGUGCCUAAUACAUGCAAGUCGAGCGAACGGACGAGAAGCUUGCUUUUCUGAUGUUAGCGGCGGACGGGUGAGUAACACGUGGAUAACCUACCUAUAAGACUGGGAUAACUUCGGGAAACCGGAGCUAAUACCGGAUAAUAUUUUGAACCGCAUGGUUCAAAAGUGAAAGACGGUCUUUCUGUCACUUAUAGAUGGAUCCGCGCUGCAUUAGCUAGUUGGUAAGGUAACGGCUUACCAAGGCAACGAUGCAUAGCCGACCUGAGAGGGUGAUCGGCCACACUGGAACUGAGACACGGUCCAGACUCCUACGGGAGGCAGCAGUAGGGAAUCUUCCGCAAUGGGCGAAAGCCUGACGGAGCAACGCCGCGUGAGUGAUGAAGGUCUUCGGAUCGUAAAACUCUGUUAUUAGGGAAGAACAUAUGUGUAAGUAACUGUGCACAUCUUGACGGUACCUGAUCAGAAAGCCACGGCUAACUACGU
This 496-nucleotide ribosomal RNA is filed under the name uncultured bacterium. RNAcentral describes it as "partial 16S ribosomal RNA". It matches the Rfam family "Bacterial small subunit ribosomal RNA", at positions 28 to 506 of the family's 1533-position model. The record is from RNAcentral.